This 641-nucleotide ribosomal RNA is filed under the name uncultured bacterium. RNAcentral describes it as "bacterial SSU rRNA". It matches the Rfam family "Bacterial small subunit ribosomal RNA", at positions 1 to 644 of the family's 1533-position model. The record is from RNAcentral.
CCCUUAGAGUUUGAUCCUGGCUCAGGACGAACGCUGGCGGCGUGCUUAACACAUGCAAGUGGAGCGACGAACCGGGGCUUGCCCCGGGGCAGAGCCGCGAACGGGUGAGUAACACGUGGGUUACCUGCCCCGAUGACCGGGACAACCCGAGGAAACUCGGGCUAAUACCGGAUGUGGUCUUCGGACGAAAGGAAGCUUCGGCCUCCGCAUCGGGAUGGGCCCGCGGCGCAUUAGCUUGUUGGUGGGGUAACGGCCUACCAAGGCGACGAUGCGUAGCUGGUCUGAGAGGACGAUCAGCCACACUGGGACUGAGACACGGCCCAGACUCCUACGGGAGGCAGCAGUGGGGAAUCUUGCGCAAUGCGCGAAAGCGUGACGCAGCAACGCCGCGUGGGGGAAGAAGGCCUUCGGGUUGUAAACCUCUUUCAGUUGGGACGAAGGUCCGCCGGUGAAUAGCCGGCCGGACUGACGGUACCUUCAGAAGAAGCCCCGGCUAACUACGUGCCAGCAGCCGCGGUAAUACGUAGGGGGGAAGCGUUGUCCGGAAUCAUUGGGCGUAAAGAGCGUGUAGGCGGCCCGGUAAGUCCGCUGUGAAAGUCCAGGGCUCAACCCUGGAAUGCCGGUGGAUACUGUCGGGCUCG